Molecule: ribosomal RNA, 1017 nt
Filed under: uncultured fungus
Lineage: Eukaryota; Fungi
Description: eukaryotic LSU rRNA
Rfam family: Eukaryotic small subunit ribosomal RNA (bases 1-241)
Source: RNAcentral
UUGCUCUUCAACGAGGAAUUCCUAGUAAGCGCAAGUCAUCAGCUUGCGUUGAUUACGUCCCUGCCCUUUGUACACACCGCCCGUCGCUAGUACCGAUUGAAUGGCUUAGUGAGGCCUCAGGAUCUGCUUAGAAGAGGGGGCGACUCCACUUCAGAGCGGAGAAUCUGGUCAAACUUGGUCGUUUAGAGGAACUAAAAGUCGUAACAAGGUUUCCGUAGGUGAACCUGCGGAAGGAUCAUUAAAGAAAAAUGUUAAUGGGGGUGGUACUGUGAGAGGCGUGUCUCUGGAACAAUUGAGGAUGGAUGAGUCUGAGCCUGCGCUUAAGUGCGCGGCCUGGGUUUUGUCUGUGCGAGGUGUUCUACUUUCAAGGAGCAUGUUUUCGAGCGUACCGUUUUUCCACAACACUACACACAGUGGAGUAAUCUAUUGUUCUUUCUAUUUUUCUUUGGGGGACGGUAAGUCUCCCGGGAGAAGCAAACACAAACAAUUAUUUUUAUAUUUACAAAAUUUGUCAGAACUUAAUUUCUCUUUUGAGAAAAUAACUUCAAAACUUUCAACAAUGGAUCUCUUGGUUCUCGCAUCGAUGAAGAACGCAGCGAAAUGCGAUACGUAAUGUGAAUUGCAGAAUUCCGUGAAUCAUCGAAUCUUUGAACGCACAUUGCGCCCUCUGGUAUUCCAGGGGGCAUGCCUGUUUGAGCGUCAUUUCCUUCUCAAACACCUGUGUUUGGUAGUGAGUGAUACUCUUAUUGAGUUAGCUUGAAAUUGUUGGCCAUAUAGUGGGGACAUUUGGAGUCUUGCUUUGUGGGUCUUAUUUUUCAUUGGGAGUUUCGCAAUGGAAAUAUCGUAUUAGGUUUUACCAACUUCGGUAUUUUUUUGUUGUGGGAUGCUAAUUCCUUUGGAUAGAGAUCUGUGUAUGGCGAAUCCAAUCUUGUCAGCACGGCAAACAGAAACCUUUAAGUUUGACCUCAAAUCAGGUAGGAUUACCCGCUGAACUUAAGCAUAUCAAUAAGCGGAGGA